UACGAAGGGGGCUAGCGUUGCUCGGAAUCACUGGGCGUAAAGCGCACGUAGGCGGCUUAUUAAGUCAGAGGUGAAAUCCUGGAGCUCAACUCCAGAACUGCCUUUGAUACUGAUGAGCUUGAGUUCGGGAGAGGUGAGUGGAACUGCGAGUGUAGAGGUGAAAUGCGUAGAUAUCGAGAGGAACACCUGCGGCGAAGGCGGGUUGCUGGGCUGAUACUGACGCUGAGGCGCGAAAGCCAGGGGAGCGAACGGG
This 253-nucleotide ribosomal RNA is filed under the name uncultured bacterium. RNAcentral's name for it is "partial 16S ribosomal RNA". It matches the Rfam family "Bacterial small subunit ribosomal RNA", at positions 524 to 776 of the family's 1533-position model. The record is from RNAcentral.